This 400-nucleotide ribosomal RNA is filed under the name uncultured bacterium. RNAcentral describes it as "bacterial SSU rRNA". It matches the Rfam family "Bacterial small subunit ribosomal RNA", at positions 355 to 772 of the family's 1533-position model. The record is from RNAcentral.
UGGGGAAUAUUGGACAAUGGGCGCAAGCCUGAUCCAGCAAUGCCGCGUGAGUGAAGAAGGUCUUCGGAUUGUAAAGCUCUUUUGGCGGGGACGAUGAUGACGGUACCCGCAGAAUAAGCCCCGGCUAACUUCGUGCCCGCAGCCGCGGUAAUACGAAGGGGGCUAGCGUUGCUCGGAAUGACUGGGCGUAAAGGGCGCGUAGGCGGAUUGUACAGUCAGACGUGAAAUUCCUGGGCUCAACCUGGGGGCUGCGUUUGAUACGUAUAGUCUUGAGUGAGGAAGAGGGUUGUGGAAUUCCCAGUGUAGAGGUGAAAUUCGUAGAUAUUGGGAAGAACACCGGUGGCGAAGGCGGCAACCUGGUCCUUUACUGACGCUGAGGCGCGAAAGCGUGGGGAGCAAA